Molecule: ribosomal RNA, 916 nt
Filed under: Marinilactibacillus sp. CPA-34
Lineage: Bacteria; Bacillati; Bacillota; Bacilli; Lactobacillales; Carnobacteriaceae
Description: bacterial SSU rRNA
Rfam family: Bacterial small subunit ribosomal RNA
Source: RNAcentral
UGCAAGUCGAACGAUGAAGCUCUCUGCUUGCAGAGAGUGGAUUAGUGGCGAACGGGUGAGUAACACGUGGGUAACCUGCCCAUAAGAGGGGGAUAACAUUCGGAAACGGAUGCUAAUACCGCAUAUGUCUUUGAGACGCCUGUCUCUUAGACGAAAGGUGGCUUCGGCUGCCGCUUAUGGAUGGACCCGCGGCGUAUUAGCUAGUUGGUGAGGUAAUGGCUCACCAAGGCAUUGAUACGUAGCCGACCUGAGAGGGUGAUCGGCCACACUGGGACUGAGACACGGCCCAGACUCCUACGGGAGGCAGCAGUAGGGAAUCUUCCACAAUGGGUGAAAACCUGAUGGAGCAAUACCGCGUGAGUGAAGAAGGUCUUCGGAUCGUAAAGCUCUGUUGUUAGAGAAGAACAAGUCGGGUAGUAACUGCCCCGACCUUGACGGUAUCUAACCAGAAAGUCACGGCUAACUACGUGCCAGCAGCCGCGGUAAUACGUAGGUGACAAGCGUUGUCCGGAUUUAUUGGGCGUAAAGCGAGCGCAGGCGGUCUUUUAAGUCUGAUGUGAAAGCCCACGGCUCAACCGUGGAGGGUCAUUGGAAACUGGAAGACUUGAAUGCAGAAGAGGAAAGUGGAAUUCCAUGUGUAGCGGUGAAAUGCGUAGAUAUAUGGAGGAACACCAGUGGCGAAGGCGACUUUCUGGUCUGUAAUUGACGCUGAGGCUCGAAAGCGUGGGGAGCGAACAGGAUUAGAUACCCUGGUAGUCCACGCCGUAAACGAUGAGUGCUAAGUGUUGGAGGGUUUCCGCCCUUCAGUGCUGGAGCUAACGCAUUAAGCACUCCGCCUGGGGAGUACGGCCGCAAGGCUGAAACUCAAAGGAAUUGACGGGGACCCGCACAAGCGGGGGAGCAUGUGGUUUAAUUC